CCGAAGUUAAGCGUGCUUGGGCGAGAGUAGUACUGGGAUGGGUGACCUCCUGGGAAGUCCUCGUGUUGCACCCCUGGG
RNAcentral lists this ribosomal RNA (78 nucleotides) under Callistemon salignus. Lineage: Eukaryota; Viridiplantae; Streptophyta; Magnoliopsida; Myrtales; Myrtaceae. The record is from RNAcentral.